Molecule: non-coding RNA, 396 nt
Organism: Cinara cedri
Lineage: Eukaryota; Metazoa; Arthropoda; Insecta; Hemiptera; Aphididae
Source: the annotation of a GenBank genome assembly
AUUUUGUAUUAAAUAAUGGAACAGUUUUUUAUCUUAUCUAAACAUUUUGUAUUCUAUACAUUUUGUUGUUGAUUUUGUUAGUGAAAAGUGUGAAAAAGUGUAAAAUAAUUUUAAUAGCUUGCACGCAAAAUUAUUGCAAUAAAGUAAGUUGAUAUGUAUGUCAGGACAUUGUUAACAUGCACAUAGUGUUUAUAUUAGCCAUGCUCUUUAGCUAAUGUGUUAUAUUUCAUAUUAAAACAUGAAAUAUUAACAUUCCUGGAUAAUAGUAACGGUAACUAAGAAUGUUGAAAAUAUUAAAAGUUAUUUAUUAAAUACAGUAGGAGUUUUUGUUAGCGUUCCGUAUACCAAGGUAAGCGUUUAAAUAAUAUAAAUAGAUAUUCAAUAAUUUAUCUGCAG